UAGCUCAGUUGGUAGAGCAUGGUGCUUGCAACGCCAGGAUAGUGGGUUCCACCCAU
This 56-nucleotide transfer RNA is filed under the name Salmo salar (Atlantic salmon). It matches the Rfam family "tRNA", at positions 8 to 63 of the family's 71-position model. Rfam says of the family: Transfer RNA (tRNA) molecules are approximately 80 nucleotides in length. The record is from Rfam by way of RNAcentral. Lineage: Eukaryota; Metazoa; Chordata; Actinopteri; Salmoniformes; Salmonidae.